This 495-nucleotide ribosomal RNA is filed under the name uncultured bacterium. Its description in RNAcentral is "partial 16S ribosomal RNA". It matches the Rfam family "Bacterial small subunit ribosomal RNA", at positions 28 to 507 of the family's 1533-position model. The record is from RNAcentral.
GACGAACGCUGGCGGCGUGCCUAAUACAUGCAAGUAGAACGCUGAAGGAGGAGCUUGCUUCUCUGGAUGAGUUGCGAACGGGUGAGUAACGCGUAGGUAACCUGCCUGGUAGCGGGGGAUAACUAUUGGAAACGAUAGCUAAUACCGCAUAAUAGUAGAUGUCGCAUGACAUUUGCUUAAAAGGUGCAAUUGCAUCACUACCAGAUGGACCUGCGUUGUAUUAGCUAGUUGGUGAGGUAACGGCUCACCAAGGCAACGAUACAUAGCCGACCUGAGAGGGUGAUCGGCCACACUUGGAAUGGGACACGGGCCAGACUCCUACGGGAGGCAGCAGUAGGGAAUCUUCGGCAAUGGACGGAAGUCUGACCGAGCAACGCCGCGUGAGUGAAGAAGGUUUUCGGAUCGUAAAGCUCUGUUGUAAGGGAAGAACGAGUGUGAGAGUGGAAAGUUCACACUGUGACGGUAUCUUACCAGAAAGAGACGGCUAACUACGUG